RNAcentral lists this transfer RNA (75 nucleotides) under bacterium. RNAcentral describes it as "tRNA-Arg". It matches the Rfam family "tRNA". Rfam says of the family: Transfer RNA (tRNA) molecules are approximately 80 nucleotides in length. Their secondary structure includes four short double-helical elements and three loops (D, anti-codon, and T loops). Further hydrogen bonds mediate the characteristic L-shaped molecular structure. tRNAs have two regions of fundamental functional importance: the anti-codon, which is responsible for specific mRNA codon recognition, and the 3' end, to which the tRNAs corresponding amino acid is attached (by aminoacyl-tRNA synthetases). tRNAs cope with the degeneracy of the genetic code in two manners: having more than one tRNA (with a specific anti-codon) for a particular amino acid; and 'wobble' base-pairing, i.e. permitting non-standard base-pairing at the 3rd anti-codon position. The record is from RNAcentral.
GCUCCUGUAGCUCAAUGGAUAGAGCAGGACACUCCUAAGGUCAAGAUGCGGGUUCGAUUCCCUCCAGGAGCACUA